RNAcentral lists this ribosomal RNA (492 nucleotides) under uncultured bacterium. RNAcentral's name for it is "partial 16S ribosomal RNA". It matches the Rfam family "Bacterial small subunit ribosomal RNA", at positions 29 to 507 of the family's 1533-position model. The record is from RNAcentral.
AGUGAACGCUGGCGGUAGGCCUAACACAUGCAAGUCGAACGGCAGCACAGUAAGAGCUUGCUCUUACGGGUGGCGAGUGGCGGACGGGUGAGGAAUACAUCGGAAUCUACUUUUUCGUGGGGGAUAACGUAGGGAAACUUACGCUAAUACCGCAUACGACCUACGGGUGAAAGCAGGGGAUCUUCGGACCUUGCGCGAUUGAAUGAGCCGAUGUCGGAUUAGCUAGUUGGCGGGGUAAAGGCCCACCAAGGCGACGAUCCGUAGCUGGUCUGAGAGGAUGAUCAGCCACACUGGAAAUGAGACACGGUCCAGACUCCUAAGGGAGGGAGCAGUGGGGAAUAUUGGACAAUGGGCGCAAGCCUGAUCCAGCCAUACAGCGUGGGUGAAGAAGGCCUUCGGGUUGUAAAGCCCUUUUGUUGGGAAAGAAAAGCAGCAGGUUAAUACCCCGCUGUUCUGGCGGUACCCAAAGAAUAAGCACCGGCUAACUUCGUG